CCUUCCCUAGGCCAAGGAGCCGGUAUCAGACACAACUACAGUCCACAACACCUAGUCUCACCACACCCCCAAGGGUACUCAGCAGUGAUAAAUAUUGAGCAUAAGCGAUAGCUUGACUCAGUCAGAGAAAAGAGAGCCGGCCAACCCGGUGCCAGCCGCCGCGGCUACCCCGUGGGCUCGAGUUGAUGAUCAUCGGCGUUAAGCGUGAUUAAAGUUCAUCUAGAUUAGGGCCAAACUAAUACUUAGUAGUAAAAAGCUUGUUAUUAAGAAGAACAUAAACGAAAGUUGCCCUAACUCACAUACUUGAAUACACGACAGUUGGGAAACAAACUAGGAUUAGAUACCCUACUAUGCCCAACCGUAAACAAUUAACCUACAUCUAUAAGCGCCUGGGAACUACGAGCUAUGCUUAAAACCCAAAGGAUUUGACGGUGUCCCACCCAACUAGAGGAGCCUGUUCUAUAAUCGAUGAUCCCCGAUAUACCUAACCACCCCUAGCUCAUCCGUCUGUAUACCUCCGUCGAAAGCCUACCAUGUGAACGUUUACAGUAGGCCCAAGGACCCACAUUAGCGCGUCAACACGUCAGGUCAAGGUGCAACUUAAGGAGUGGGAAGUAAUUGGCUACAAUUUCUAAUCUAGAACAAACGAAAGACAGUGUGAAAUCACAGUCACGAAGGCGGAUUUAGCAGUAAAAAGAAAAUAGAGAGUUCUUUUUAACCCGGCUCUGGGACGCGUA
This 737-nucleotide ribosomal RNA is filed under the name Odorrana fengkaiensis. RNAcentral describes it as "partial 12S ribosomal RNA". It matches the Rfam family "Bacterial small subunit ribosomal RNA", at positions 304 to 1385 of the family's 1533-position model. Lineage: Eukaryota; Metazoa; Chordata; Amphibia; Anura; Ranidae. The record is from RNAcentral.